UGAGAACAAGCUAUUUAUUAGCAUUUCAUUUACACUGAAAAGAUUCUUAUAUUUAUAAGGUUUUCAA
RNAcentral lists this transfer RNA (67 nucleotides) under Glyptelasma sp. 1 ZG-2020. RNAcentral's name for it is "tRNA-Val". Lineage: Eukaryota; Metazoa; Arthropoda; Thecostraca; Poecilasmatidae. The record is from RNAcentral.